CUGAGGGAAACUUCAGCUAAUACCGUAUGUGCCCUUCGGGGGAAAGAUUUAUCGCCUUAGGAGCGGCCCGCGUUGGAUUAGCUAGUUGGUGGGGUAAAGGCCCACCAAGGCUACGAUCCAUAGCUGGUCUGAGAGGAUGAUCAGCCACACUGGGACUGAGACACGGCCCAGACUCCUACGGGAGGCAGCAGUAGGGAAUCUUGCGCAAUGGGCGAAAGCCUGACGCAGCCAUGCCGCGUGAAUGAUGAAGGUCUUAGGAUUGUAAAAUUCUUUCACCGGGGAAGAUAAUGACGGUACCCGGAGAAGAAGCCCCGGCUAACUUCGUGCCAGCAGCCGCGGUAAUACGAAGGGGGCUAGCGUUGCUCGGAAU
This 370-nucleotide ribosomal RNA is filed under the name Phenylobacterium sp. RNAcentral describes it as "bacterial SSU rRNA". It matches the Rfam family "Bacterial small subunit ribosomal RNA", at positions 147 to 551 of the family's 1533-position model. The record is from RNAcentral. Lineage: Bacteria; Pseudomonadati; Pseudomonadota; Alphaproteobacteria; Caulobacterales; Caulobacteraceae.